GGGCUGCAGUAUUUUGACUGUACAAAGGUAGCAUAAUCAAUAGUCUCUUAAUUGGUGACUUGUAUGAAAGAUUGGAUGAGAUAUAUACUGUCUCUUGUUAAUUUAUAGAAAUUAAUUUUUUAGUAAAAAAGCUAAAAUAAUUUUAAAAGACGAGAAGACCCUAUAGAGUUUAAUAAUUUAUUUAAUUAUUAUUAAUAUAUAAUUUUUAAAAUUAAAAUUAAAUAAAUUAUUUUGUUGGGGUGAUAGAAAAAUUAAAUUAACUUUUUUUAAUUAUUUACAUUAAUUUAUGGUUAAAUGAUCCAUUUAUAAUGAUUAAAAGAAAAAAUUACCUUAGGGAUAACAGCGUAAUUUUUUUUUUUAGUUCAAAUAGGAAGAAAAGUUUGCGACCUCGAUGUUGGAUUAA
Molecule: ribosomal RNA, 403 nt
Filed under: Papilio bootes xamnuensis
Lineage: Eukaryota; Metazoa; Arthropoda; Insecta; Lepidoptera; Papilionidae
Also listed under: 1 other name
Description: partial 16S ribosomal RNA
Source: RNAcentral